This 348-nucleotide unclassified non-coding RNA is filed under the name soil metagenome. RNAcentral's name for it is "partial contains 5.8S ribosomal RNA, internal transcribed spacer 2, and large subunit ribosomal RNA". The stretch from base 1 to 120 matches the Rfam family "5.8S ribosomal RNA", at positions 35 to 154 of the family's 154-position model. The record is from RNAcentral.
GAUGAAGAACGUAGCGAAAUGCGAUUAGUAAUGUGAAUUGCAGAAUUCAGUGAAUCAUCGAGUCUUUGAACGCACAUUGCGCCCCCUGGUAUUCCGGGGGGCAUGCCUGUCCGAGCGUCAUUGCCGCCCUCAAGCACGGCUUGUGUGUUGGGCCCCCGCCCCCCGGCUUCGGGGGGCGGGCCCGAAAGGCAGCGGCGGCACCGCGUCCGGUCCUCGAGCGUAUGGGGCUUCGUCACCCGCUCUGUAGGCCCGGCCGGCGCCCGCCGGCGACCCCAAUCAAUCUUUCCAGGUUGACCUCGGAUCAGGUAGGGAUACCCGCUGAACUUAAGCAUAUCAAUAAGCGGAGGA